This 77-nucleotide transfer RNA is filed under the name Paramylibacter ulvae. RNAcentral describes it as "Amylibacter ulvae tRNA-Pro(ggg)". It matches the Rfam family "tRNA". Rfam says of the family: Transfer RNA (tRNA) molecules are approximately 80 nucleotides in length. Their secondary structure includes four short double-helical elements and three loops (D, anti-codon, and T loops). Further hydrogen bonds mediate the characteristic L-shaped molecular structure. tRNAs have two regions of fundamental functional importance: the anti-codon, which is responsible for specific mRNA codon recognition, and the 3' end, to which the tRNAs corresponding amino acid is attached (by aminoacyl-tRNA synthetases). tRNAs cope with the degeneracy of the genetic code in two manners: having more than one tRNA (with a specific anti-codon) for a particular amino acid; and 'wobble' base-pairing, i.e. permitting non-standard base-pairing at the 3rd anti-codon position. The record is from RNAcentral. Lineage: Bacteria; Pseudomonadati; Pseudomonadota; Alphaproteobacteria; Rhodobacterales; Paracoccaceae. RNAcentral also lists the same sequence under 4 other names.
CGGGCUAUAGCGCAGCCUGGUAGCGCGUUCGUCUGGGGGACGAGAGGUCGCAGGUUCGAAUCCUGCUAGCCCGACCA